GGACGAACGCUGGCGGCGUGCCUAACACAUGCAAGUCGAGCGAGGAGAUCCUUCGGGAUGAUCCUAGCGGCGGACGGGUGAGUAACACGUGGGCAACCUGCCUCAUAGAGAGGAAUAGCCUUCCGAAAGGGAGAUUAAUACCUCAUAACAUUGCAGUUUCGCAUGGAACAGCAAUUAAGGAGUAAUCCGCUAUGAGAUGGGCCCGCGGCGCAUUAGCUAGUUGGUGAGGUAACGGCUCACCAAGGCGACGAUGCGUAGCCGACCUGAGAGGGUGAUCGGCCACAUUGGGACUGAGACACGGCCCAGACUCCUACGGGAGGCAGCAGUGGGGAAUAUUGCACAAUGGGGGAAACCCUGAUGCAAGCAACGCCGCGUGAGUGAUGACGGCCUUCGGGUUGUAAAGCUCUGUCUUCAGGGACGAUAAUGACGGUACCUGAGGAGGAAGCCACGGCUAACUACGUGCCAGCAGCGGC
RNAcentral lists this ribosomal RNA (473 nucleotides) under uncultured bacterium. RNAcentral's name for it is "bacterial SSU rRNA". It matches the Rfam family "Bacterial small subunit ribosomal RNA", at positions 27 to 518 of the family's 1533-position model. The record is from RNAcentral.